UCUUCUUUAAGACUCACAGAGGUAUGCUUNCGGUAGAGCUAGCGUCACAUUACCCUUUUUGGCGGGGACAGGGUCUACCAAGACUAUCAUGNGNACCCGUACUGAGAGGCCGAACGGACACCAUGAGACUGACGACUCGGACCNCACUCCUACGGGAGGCAGCAGUANGGACUUUUCGGCNAUGGAGGAAACUCUGACCGANNAACGCCUCGUGAACGAUGAAGUAUUUCGGUACGUAAAGUUCUUUUAUNAGGGAAGAAAAGAUGGGGNAAAAACCAUUAUGACGGUACCUAAUGAAUAAGCCCCGGCUAACUAUGUGCCAGCAGCCGCGGUAAUACAUAGGGGUCAAGCGUUAUCCGGAAUUAUUGGGCGUAAAGGGUGCGUAGGCGGUUAAAUAAGUUUAUGGUCUAAGUGCAAUGCUUAUCGUUGUGAUGCUAUAAAAUCUGUUUAGCUAGAGUUGGAUAGAGGCAAGUGGAAUUCCAUGUGUAGUGGUAAAAUGCGUAAAUAUAUGGAGGAACACCAGAAGCGAAGGCGGCUUGCUAGGUCUUAACUGACGCUGAGGCACAAAAGCGUGGGGAGCAAACAGGAUUAGAUACCCUGGUAGUCCACGCCCUAAACGAUGAGUACUAAACAUUGGGUAAAACCAGUGUUGAAGUUAACACAUUAAGAACUCCGCCUGAGUAGUACGUACGCAAGUAUGAAACUUAAAGGAAUUGACGGGACUCCGCACAAGCGGCGGAUCAUGUUGUUUAAUUCGAAGGUACCCGAAAAACCUCACCAGGUCUUGACAUGCUUUUGCAAAGCGGUAGAAAUAUCGUGGAGGUUAUCAGAAGCACAGGUGGUGCAUGGUNGUCGUCAGCUCGUGUCGUGAGAUGUUGGGUUAAGUCCCGCAACGAGCGCAACCCUUGUUGUUAAUUGCCAUCAUUAAGUUGGGGNCUUUAGCAAGACUNCCAGUGAUAAAUUGGAGGAAGGUGGGGGCGACGUCAAAUCAUCAUNCCCCUUAUGNCCUGGGCUACAAACGUGAUACAAUGGCUGUUNCAAAGGNCAGCUAAANGCGUAAGCUUUUGGCGAAUCUCAAAAAAGCAGUCUCAGUUCAGAGGUGAAGUCUGCAACCU
This 1115-nucleotide ribosomal RNA is filed under the name Onion grassy shoot phytoplasma. RNAcentral's name for it is "bacterial SSU rRNA". It matches the Rfam family "Bacterial small subunit ribosomal RNA", at positions 184 to 1313 of the family's 1533-position model. The record is from RNAcentral. Lineage: Bacteria; Bacillati; Mycoplasmatota; Mollicutes; Acholeplasmatales; Acholeplasmataceae.